CUGUGGGACACCUGCGAAUAAUCUCCAAAGAAAAACGCUCUUCUGUAACAUGUGCUGAACCUGUGAGCAGGAGAUAACUAGCAUCCACAUUGUCCGUAGUAGAAAACGAACCAGUCUUCUUUGGAGACGAGCUCCGUUUCCAGAAGGAGAAGCCGUGGUUUGCCCAUCCUCUUCAACUCCUUCAGUACUGAUUGUUCCAACACUGAUAGCCUGCUCCAAAGUUUGUCCUACCAUUGGCUAACCAGUGGCCAAUCAGAUACUCUCAAUGGCACGAACCAAGAUUGGGCUGUGGGCCCUGAACUGUGAUGUCACAGAACCUGGGACCUGCACCCAUACUAGGCUAGGACAAGGGGUAGAGGCAGAGAGAGAGAGAGGAGCCACCUUGAGAAGGAAGAGACCAGGUGGGCUCUGAGAUAGGGAGACCCUUUCUACGUCGGUGCCUUGACAUGUGGCACUUUCUGCUCCAGGAUCGCCCCCAGAGGAACUGCUAUCACUUUCAAAUGACCUCGUCUUUUCUAGGGCCUUCCGAACUGAUCAUCUCUCCCUUCUGAUACAAGAGGGUCUUCCCUGGAAGACCACUGCACACCUUCUAGUAACACUGGGACCCUGGAACUGUGAGUGAACAUGUAUAGCAACCUCCGACUGAGAAGAAUGUGAUUACCAGCAGGUCAAACCCAUCAGGGAUGGUUAGGCUGCAGUAUCAAGUCCCCCAGCAAGAUCUUCAGGGAAAACCCAUGACAGUGGGAGAAUUUGUCAUUUAUACCGGAGGAGAGAGAUGGGAAUAAGGCCCAUGGGAUACACUGAGUAACUGCUUCCUGAUCAUGUGCAGAAGAAGACCUGUGCAGCCCAAGGGGUGGACGCUGAUAGCCUUAGAUUCCAGUGCUCACAUCUCCCUUCACAAAAACCUGCUUCAAGGACCAUAGAUCUCCAUCCUCCCACCCAAGUGAACAUACGCGGAGGUGAACAUGACCUAUGAUUUCAGAGCUGGGAAGAGACCUGGCGCUUUCAUUCAGGAGGAGUCCAAGGAAACGAGCGGUUUGCUGUCAGGGCUGGCAAAGAAACACUGGGAGAAGCUUCACCUACAUUUUCUGCCGCACCAAAGGUUUUUGCUACCAGCAAAAACGAGGACAUAAGAACAAAGAAACCAGGGUACAGAGAUAUUAAUCAUUCAGCUCAUAUCUCUCAGCUGGAAUGUGGAAAAGCCGACAGUCACCCACAGCUCUGGGUUUGACCCAAAACUGCCUGCAAUUCCCUACUAUGUGAUCUACAAAUACAAAGACUGCAGACAGCAUAGCAUUCUCCUGUUUGAGAAAUACAGCAGCAGCCUUGGUCUUCUUACACGUUGCAGACAUAUGCAGCAUGAAAGGAGAACAGCUUUCAUAACCAACGACGAGUGUUCUAAAAUACACACCUUGGAGCAGCUGCCUCCUAUAGUUACAGGAGGUGGCUGGUCGGGCGUGAGCAGGACAGUAGAGGGCUCCCCUGACCAUACACACGCCAGGAGUGUUGGGUGACCACCAGGUGAUGGUCAGGCUGUUGCUAACCCUUUUCAAAAGUAAUGAUUAGCCACAGCCUGCACCAGGAAAAGGCAAUAUCCUAAUAGACAGAAAACACCUGAAACUGAUCAGCAGCUUCCCAAUAAGAUCCCGGAAGUAUGCCAACGUAGAAAAUCCCAAGUCAGGCCGGGUGCGGUGGCUCACGCCUGUAAUCCCAGCACUUUUGAGGCCAAGGCGGGCGGAUCACAAGGUCAAGAGAUCAAGACCAUUCUGGCCAACAUGGUGAAAUCCCGUCUCUACUAAAAAUACUAAAAUUAGCUGUGCAUGGUGGCACGCGCCUGUAGUCCUGGCUACUCGGGAGGCUGGGGCAGGAGAAUCACUUGAACCUAGGAGGCGGAGGUUGCAGUGAGCUGAGAUAAUGCCACUGCACUCCAGCCUGGCAACAGAGCGAGACUCCAUGUCAAAAAAAAAAAAAAAAAGCCGCAAGUCAAGAAGUCAAGCUGUGUACUUGGUUUCUCUAGUCGCCCCCUUGGCCCUCUCCCAAGUUGUACUUUCCUUCCCUUGCCUUUCCUUCCUUUCCUUACUGUUCUAAUAAAUUU
This is a non-coding RNA of Macaca mulatta (Rhesus monkey), 2095 nucleotides long. NCBI's taxonomy places the organism in Eukaryota, Metazoa, Chordata, Mammalia, Primates, Cercopithecidae. The record is from RefSeq and is a predicted model, not a curated record.